UACGGGGGGUGCAAGCGUUGUCCGGAAUCACUGGGCGUAAAGGGCGCGUAGGCGGCUCAUGAAGGCUGUGGUGAAAGUCCGGGGCUCAACCUCGGAUCGGCCGUGGCGACUCGUGGGCUGGAGCACUGUAGAGGCGGGUGGAAUUCCGGGUGUAGCGGUGGAAUGCGUAGAGAUCCGGAAGAACACCAGUGGCGAAGGCGGCCCGCUGGGCAGUGGCUGACGCUGAGGCGCGACAGCGUGGGGAGCAAACAGG
Molecule: ribosomal RNA, 253 nt
Filed under: uncultured bacterium
Lineage: Bacteria
Description: partial 16S ribosomal RNA
Rfam family: Bacterial small subunit ribosomal RNA
Source: RNAcentral